GAAGUCAUUACUCCAACUUUUCGGAGGGGAGGAUGCCUAAGGCAGUGCUGGUGACUGGGGUGAAGUCGUAACAAGGUAGCCGUACCGGAAGGUGUGGCUGGAUCACCUCCUUUU
RNAcentral lists this ribosomal RNA (114 nucleotides) under Anabaena sp. 8B5. RNAcentral's name for it is "partial 16S ribosomal RNA". It matches the Rfam family "Bacterial small subunit ribosomal RNA", at positions 1423 to 1533 of the family's 1533-position model. The record is from RNAcentral. Lineage: Bacteria; Bacillati; Cyanobacteriota; Cyanophyceae; Nostocales; Nostocaceae.